Molecule: ribosomal RNA, 404 nt
Filed under: uncultured bacterium
Lineage: Bacteria
Description: bacterial SSU rRNA
Rfam family: Bacterial small subunit ribosomal RNA
Source: RNAcentral
UUAGGAAUAUUGGACAAUGGGCGCAAGCCUGAUCCAGCCAUGCCGCGUGAGUGAUGAAGGCCUUCGGGUUGUAAAACUCUUUAGCCGACGAAUAUAAUGACUGUAGUCGGAGAAUAAGCCCCGGCUAACUUCGUGCCAGCAGCCGCGGUAAUACGAAGGGGGCGAGCGUUAUUCGGAAUCACUGGGCGUAAAGCGUGCGUAGGCUGUUUUGUAAGUUGGGAGUGAAAGCCCAGGGCUCAACCCUGGAAUUGCUCUCAAAACUACAAGACUCGGAUUUGGGAGAGGAUAGCGGAAUUGUCAGUGUAGCAGUGAAAUGCGUAGAUAUUGACAGGAACACCAGUGGCGUAAGCGGCUAUCUGGACCAACAUCGACGCUGAGGCACGAAAGCGUGGGGAUCAAACAGG